CCUACGGGAGGCUGCAGUCGAGAAUCAUUCACAAUGGGGGAAACCCUGAUGGUGCGACGCCGCGUGGGGGAAUGAAGGUCUUCGGAUUGUAAACCCCUGUCAUGUGGGAGCAAAUUAUAAAGAUAGUACCACAAGAGGAAGAGAUGGCUAACUCUGUGCCAGCAGCCGCGGUAAUACCGAGGUCUCAAGCGUUGUUCGGAAUCACUGGGCGUAAAGCGUGCGUAGGCUGUUUCGUAAGUCGCGGGUGAAAGGCGCGGGCUCAACCCGCGGACGGCACAUGAUACUGCGAGACUAGAGUGAGGGAGAGGGAACCGGAAUUCUCGGUGUAGCAGUGAAAUGCGUAGAUAUCGAGAGGAACACUCGUGGCGAAGGCGGGUUCCUGGACGUUAACUGACGCUGAGGCACGAAGGCCAGGGGAGCGAAAGGGAUUAGAUACCCCUGUAGUC
RNAcentral lists this ribosomal RNA (446 nucleotides) under uncultured bacterium. RNAcentral's name for it is "partial 16S ribosomal RNA". It matches the Rfam family "Bacterial small subunit ribosomal RNA", at positions 338 to 795 of the family's 1533-position model. The record is from RNAcentral.